This is a long non-coding RNA of Trematomus bernacchii (emerald rockcod), 354 nucleotides long. RefSeq lists it as uncharacterized. The transcript has 4 exons. The record is from RefSeq and is a predicted model, not a curated record. NCBI's taxonomy places the organism in Eukaryota, Metazoa, Chordata, Actinopteri, Perciformes, Nototheniidae.
GAAAACCUUUAUCUCUUGGCUGCUGGACGCUCACCGUUAUCUCCCUCAAGGUAGGACUCGCGGUUUUAAGAGCCGAGUAUGACCGUUUCCCCUCCUGGAUUGAGCCAGGAGGAUCUAUUGCUCUGUAAAAGUUCCUCCUCUCCCUCUGUGGGGGAACCUUGUCUGCGUAGUGUCAGUGGAGGGACUGCACGGUGGGACACUUUAAAAGGUUUGCAGGCAUUGUGACCUAGUGGACCAGACCUGCCCAUAUGAGGAGGGUAAACCCACAAUGUAAUAGUGUAAAGUAUGUUCACCCUCUUACCCGUUGACAGCUGCUGAACAUUGACAUUUUAACAUGUAUAUUUGUGAAAUAAA